AUAAUGUUCAUGCCACUUAUGUACACAAACAUUUUCACAUACAACUGUAUAUAAUAUAUAUAUAUAUAUAUAUAUAAUAUAUUUAUUUUAUUUAUACAGAACACUGGAAAAAUAUAAAAAAUGCUCACAGUUUUUGGAAUAUCAACAAUUUCAACAAAGAUAAAUUAGCUUUUAUCUGGAUUCACAAAAUACUAUAUAUGAUAAAUACACAAACGAAAUAUGCAACGUUUCGUUAGAUUCAAUUGCACCCCCACAAUUUUUAUACUAUUUGGAUAACCCGAUAAACGUAAAAAGCACAUUCAAUGCUUGUAUGUCUAUGGCAUUAGACGAAAUAAUUCAAGAAAUAGAAAAUAAAAAAAACUUAGAUGAAUUUGAUGAAAAACAAAAAAAUACUUUAUUAAUUAUUAAAGAAAAAGCAAAUAAAAAGUAUUUUUCCUCCAUACGAAAAAUGGAAAAAAUACUAUCAAAAUUUUUAAAUGAAAAUAAGAAAAUGUCCUUUGAUUUUUUCCUAAGGGGAUGUGAAAGCUAUGGACAUGUACUAAUGAAAUGUAAAGAAAAAUUAUUUGUAACGUUUAACAAAACAUACGGCUUACAUUUUAAAAACUUCGAAGAUUUUUGGCUUCAUGAAGAAGAAAAAAGGAAAGAAAAAUGGAAAGAACUAUGGAUAUUAAAUGAAAUAGAAAAAAAAAAUGUGUCACUUCAUAAAAAUGGUGAUGACUUAAAUACUGCAUCAAAUAAUUAUUACAAUGAAAAUAACAAUAAUAAUAAUAAUAAUAACACUAGUAACAGUAAUAACAAUUGUGACCUUAGCAACAAUAACACAAAUAAUAUUUUUAAUAAAAACACAAAUGAAGACGACAUACACGACAAAAAAAAACUUUCGCAUAAGACUUUCA
RNAcentral lists this long non-coding RNA (896 nucleotides) under Piliocolobus tephrosceles (Ugandan red Colobus). RNAcentral's name for it is "lncRNA (ENSPTEG00000003645.1)". The record is from RNAcentral. Lineage: Eukaryota; Metazoa; Chordata; Mammalia; Primates; Cercopithecidae.